AGAGUUUGAUCCUGGCUCAGAUUGAACGCUGGCGGCAGGCCUAACACAUGCAAGUCGAGCGGAAACAUUUCUACCUUGCGAUAAGGCGUCGAGCGGCGGACGGGUGAGUAAUGCCUAGGAAAUUGCCCUGAUGUGGGGGAUAACCAUUGGAAACGAUGGCUAAUACCGCAUGAUGCCUACGGGCCAAAGGGGGCUUCGGCUCUCGCGUCAGGAUAUGCCUAGGUGGGAUUAGCUAGUUGGCGAGGUAAGGGCUCACCAAGGCGACGAUCCCUAGCUGGUCUGAGAGGAUGAUCAGCCACACUGGAACUGAGACACGGUCCAGACUCCUACGGGAGGCAGCAGUGGGGAAUAUUGGACAAUGGGCGCAAGCCUGAUCCAGCCAUGCCGCGUGUGUGAAGAAGGCCUUCGGGUUGUAAAGCACUUUCAGUUGGGAGGAAAGGUUAGUCGCUAAUAUCGGCUAGCUGUGACGUUACCAACAGAAGAAGCACCGGCUAACUCCGUGCCAGCAGCCGCGGUAAUACGGAGGGUGCGAGCGUUAAUCGGAAUUACUGGGCGUAAAGCGCAUGCAGGUGGUUUGUUAAGUCAGAUGUGAAAGCCCGGGGCUCAACCUCGGAAUUGCAUUUGAAACUGGCAGACUAGAGUCUGAGAGGGGGGUAGAAUUUCAGGUGUAGCGGUGAAAUGCGUAGAGAUCUGAAGGAAUACCGAUGGCGAAGCAGCCACCUGGGUCAACACUGACGCUCAUGUACGAACAGCGUUGGGGAGCAAACAGGAUUAGAUACCCCUGGUAGGUCCACGCCGUAAACGAUGUCUACUAGCAGCUGUAGUCCCUCGGGCAACUUUUGCAAACCUAACGCAUUAACUACACUGACUGGGGAGUACGGCCGCAAGGUUAAAACUCAAAUGAAUUGACGGGGGCCCGCACAAGCGGUGGAGCAUGUGGUUUAAUUCGAUGCAACGCGAAGAACCUUACCUACACUUGACAUACAGAGAACUUACCAGAGAUGGUUUGGUGCCUUCGGGAACUCUGAUACAGGUGCUGCAUGGCUGUCGUCAGCUCGUGUUGUGAGAUGUUGGGUUAAGUCCCGCAACGAGCGCAACCCUUGUCCUUAGUUACCAGCGGUUAAGCCGGGAACUCUAAGGAUACUGCCAGUGACAAACUGGAGGAAGGCGGGGACGACGUCAAGUCAUCAUGGCCCUUACGACCAGGGCUACACACGUGCUACAAUGGUAGGUACAGAGGGCAGCUACACAGCGAUAGUGAGCGAAUCUCAAAAAGCCUAUCGUAGUCCAGAUUGGAGUCUGCAACUCGACUCCAUGAAGUAGGAAUCGCUAGUAAUCGCGGAUCAGAAUGCCGCGGUGAAUACGUUCCCGGGCCUUGUACACACCGCCCGUCACACCAUGGGAGUUGAUUGCACCAGAAGUGGUUAGCCUAACCUUAGUGAGGGCGAUCACCACGGUGUGGUUGAUGACUGGGGUGAAGUCGUAACAAGGUAGCCGUA
RNAcentral lists this ribosomal RNA (1499 nucleotides) under uncultured bacterium. Its description in RNAcentral is "bacterial SSU rRNA". It matches the Rfam family "Bacterial small subunit ribosomal RNA". The record is from RNAcentral.